AUAUUUUGUGAACUUGUUAUGUCUAUAUGCAUAUUAUAUUCUAAAAGAAUACAAUUAAAAGAGAAUAAAUAAUAGAGAAAUUUGUUUUGUGGGGGAUUCUUCAUGUUAUCUGCGGGGGGGACCUGAAAUUUGUCCAAUACCCUUCAUUUCGGCCUGCCAUCCUCGCUGGGUUUCGCCAUUUCCCCGUCGUUAAUGUAUCUGUCCAUUGAGUGCGCAUCCACAUAAAUUACCUAACAAGUCAGAACAUUUAUUACCGUCACUCGAAAAGAAUCGCCCAGACCCAACACCGAUUUGGGCGAAAUGGCGACACUCAACUGAGGAUAAGCGUGGUAACCACCAAAUUCCUGAAACAUGUACCGCCUGAAAAAUUUUCAAACAAACAAGCGUGUAUCAUUUAAUAUUUUUUAAUGACGUCAUUUCAUUGUGCACAUGCAUUGAUAUUGUGUUUAAGGGGUUUGCAUAGCAGAAAUUGCAAGUCGAUUUGACACAAAAAAGAAAGUAACGUUCACCUUAGGUUACACUUACUACGGCAUUUACCAGAUAUCAAAUCAAUACUGCGCUAAAUACAAAUUAUGUCAAGACACGUGCGACUAUAUAUCGAAGAAUUCAACCAAAGCCCUUCGACGUUCGAUGAGCUGUGCAAACAAGAUCUACAACCAUCAUGAUCGGUUCUCACUAUGGUCAUCAUGGAAGACAAAUUGCCAAAACUACACGAUGAACUGCCCUUUCCAAAAUAUAAUCUAUAAUGAGUACAUCUACCCGCCGCGUUGGUACGUAAUACGUAUAAUUAAUCAUUUCUUUCGUAUUUGAAAUGUUUCAAUGUAUAUUAUCUACA
Molecule: long non-coding RNA, 835 nt
Organism: Cimex lectularius (bed bug)
Lineage: Eukaryota; Metazoa; Arthropoda; Insecta; Hemiptera; Cimicidae
Exons: 3
Source: RefSeq, a predicted model, not a curated record